UGCUUCCUUCACUGGUCGCACUGGCAAUGGUUAUUUUCUUCAAUAGAUAUUUUCCUAGGUGCCACCUGUAAUUUUAUGGCCUUAACAAAAAAAUUCUGAACCACAACACACGCACAAAACUUACCCUCUAGGGGCUGGCACUAAAGUUAAUCGAAAUAUAAAUUUUCCGAUUCACUGGGUUUUGGUUGAAUUGGUUGAAUUAUCGAAUUGUUGAAUUUCUCUUUUUUUUCUGUAUUUUUGAGAGAUUACUUUUAUUCUCGGAUAGCUCGGACGCACUUUCUCGCUCGCUGGUUUAAACGCAAUUAAUGCCCAGUGGCUACCGCUUCGGGUCGGGACCCCGAGUCUGAACUCCAAAAAUUGCAGUUGGAGAAAUGUUCUACAUGACGCCUAGUUAACAUUUGUCCCGACCUUAAGAACGACCUAAUUAAGUGCCUACUUUUAGGCCGAGAUCACCGACAAGCUACCUUACAAAGUUCCAUUUUGUUUUCCAGAGAGGGCAAGGAAGUUGCAACAGAGGUAACUACCGAGGACGAGGAAAUGGUCUAGGUGCAAUGGCAGAGGACGUGGAGGAUAUAGAGGAAAUAACUACCAGAACAGAGGUGGUGGUAACUAUAAAACCAAAACCGCAAUUUCUCAAAUUAAAGCGGAAAACCAGCAGGCUCCCUUAGGAAAUCAAGAACAGUAAAACAAAAGGUUCAUACCAUCAAUCUCAAUCUAAAUAUUUUCAUUAAAGUACAAAAUGAACACACUCCUACUUACAUUUCUAGUAGACAUAGGCGCCGAUAUAUCAGUCAUUAAAGAAAAUUCAGAUGAACUUUUGAAUGUUGAUCAUAAUAAUAUAACACAAAUUACAGGAAUUGGAAAGGGUUUAAUAAAUUCAAUAGGUUUAACAUUUCUCGAGAUGAGAACCGGUAACUAUAUAGUACCGCACAAUUUUCAUGUUGUGGACGACAAUUUUACGAUCCCUGGUGACGCAAUAGUUGGAAUCGACUUCAUAAAACAUUCAAUUGCCAAUUAGAUUUUACUACGGAAAGUGAUUUUUUCAUUCUAAGACCAAAUAAUAUUUAACAAUCAAUACAAAUACCAAUUUUUCAUAAUAUUGAUAACACUAAGAUAACCAUACCAUCUCGUUGUGAGGUUAUCAGGCAAAUUAAUGUAAGUUCGGUGGAAAAACAAAUUUUAAUACCUAAUCAGGAAAUAGAAGAUGGUAUAUUUGUGGGAAAUUCGAUAUCAGAUUCAAAAAACACGUACAUUCGAAUACUAAACACAACUAACAGCAAUAAAAUUGUAAACGUUAUCAAAAUCAAUAUUGAACCGUUAACUAACUACAAAAUAGCAGAUCUAAACGACUCCAUAAGAGCCGAAUCAAAUUUAAGCAGAUUAAAGAAAAACUUUCCAUCUGCACAUAAGAAAAUGUUGACUGAACUGUGUUCACAAUAUACUGAUAUUUUUGGAUUGGAGACAGAGCCAAUCACUACAAAUAAUUUUUACAAACAAAAGAUAAGAUUGAGAGAUGAUGAACCAAGCUAUAUUAAGAACUAUAGAACACCUCAUUCACAACAAGCCGAAAUAUCGAGACAGGUAACUAAAUUAAUAGAAGACAAGGUAGUAGAACCUGUGAGCUGUAUCUGAAUAUAACAGCCCAUUAUUACUAGUUCCAAAGAAAUCCUUACCGGAUUCAAAAGAAAAAAAUGGCGUUUAGUAAUAGACUAUUGCAAAUAAAUAACAAGUUGUUGGCUGACAAGUUCCCCUUGCCAAAGAAUAGAUGACAUACUUGAUCAAUUACCUCUCGUGCCUGGAUCUUAUGUCGGGAUUCCACCAAAUAGAGCUAGAGACGAUUCUCGAAAUAUAACAUCCUUUUCUACGAGCAGUGCCUCCUUUCGCUUCACGCGACUACCAUACGGACUAAAAAUAGCUCAAAAUUCCUUUCAACGAAUGAUGACAAUGGCAUCUCAAGCAUUUAUGUACAUUGAUGGUUUGAUUGUCAUAGGCUGUUCUGAAAAACACAUGGCCAAGAAUCUUACAAAUGUUUUUGGACUGUGCAGAAAAACAACCUCAAACUACAUCCAGAUAAGUGCUUAUUUUUCAUUUGUGUCUUGGACACAAAUGUACUGAUAAAGGCAUAUUGCCUGACGAUAUUAAAUAUGAUGCUAUACAGAGAUAUCCAGUGCCUACUGACGCAGACAGUGCUAGAAGAUUCGUAGCAUUUUGUAACUAUUAUAGACGUUUUAUAAAAAAUUUUGCAGAUUAUUCCCGUCACAUAACAAGAUUGUGUAAGAAAGAUGUAAAGUUCGAAUGGACAGCUGAUUCGAACCCCUUAAAAAAGAACUAAUGAAUCCAACUUUGCUGAAAUCCCCUUAGCAGAGUUCUGUAUCAUAACUGAUGCUAGCAAAGAGGCAUGCGGAGCGGUAUUGCCCCAGAACUAUAAUGGUCUCCACUUGCCAGUACCUCAUGCAUUAUGCAGCUUCACUAAGGGUGAGAGCAACAAGUCAACAACAGAGCAAGAGUUGUCAGCAAUACAUUGGGCGAUAAAUCAUUUUAAACCAUAUAUAUAUGGUAGACACUUCACCGUCAAAACAGAUCACAGACCAUUAACAUACUUGUUCUCGAUAGUUAAUCCAAGUUCAAAACUGACCAGAAUCAGGCUUGAUUUAGAGGAAUAUGAAUUUACUGUGGAAUAUCUUAAGGGAAACGACAAUUAUGUAGCAGAUGCGUUAUCAAGAAUAACCAUAGACCAACUUAAAAAUAUAUCCAAGCAAGUACUUAAAGUCACUACAAGAAAUCAAAGUAGACCGAAAUCCUGCGCAGGAAAAGGAAAUAAAAAUGAUAAAGUAGAAUUGCCUAAGCAAUCUACUCAAGAAGCUUCUAAGCCCAAAGUAUACGUAGUCAUUAAUAAUGACGAAGUACGCAAAGUAGUGACAUUGCAUGUAAAUAAUAUGAUAUGUUUUUUUAAACAUGGAAAAAAAAUUACUGCAAGAUACGAUGUUGAAGAUUUGUAUAUUAAUGGAACUCUCGACUUAGGUCAAUUUUUCCACAGGCUUGAAAACCAGGCCGGUAUGCAUAAUACCAAUCAACUUAAAAUGGCACCGUGGGAAAAUAUCUUUGAUAACAUUUCAAUAGAUACAUUUAAGAAAAUGGGCAAUGAAACAUUAAAACUAUUAAGAGUAGCGCUACUAAACCAGGUGACCUUAGUGAAUACAAAGAAAGAAAAAGAAGCAAUCCUGUCUACACACCACGACGAUCCAACACAAGGAAGACACGCAGGCAUUACAAAAACCCUGGCCAGGAUUAAAAGACAUUACUUUUGGAAAGGUAUGACUCGGGAUAUAACAGAGUACAUACGGAAAUUUCAAAAAUGCCAAAAAGCAAAAAUUAUAAAACACGCAAAAACUCCUUUAUUAAUUACAGAGACACAAAUAAGCGCAUUUGACAGAGUCAUAGUGGACAAGAUAGGUCCACUACCAAAGUCAGAAAACGGUAAUGAAUAUGCUGUAACACUUAUAUGCGACUUGACAAAAUAUUUGGUAACCAUUCCAAUCGCAAAUAAAAGCGCAAAAAGCAAUAUUUGAAACUUUUGUAUUAAAGUUCGGUCCAAUGAAGACGUUCAUUUCCGACAUGGGAACUAAAUACAGAAAUUCAAUAAUCAAAGAUUUAUGCAAAUACCAGAAAGUAGACAAUAUAACUUCUUCAGCACACCAUCAUCCGACGGUAGGAACGGUGGAAAGAAGUCAUAGAACUUUUAAUGAAUACAUCAGGUCAUACAUAUCGGUUGAUAAAACUGACUGGGACGUAUGGAUAAAAUAUUUCGAAUUUUGUUUUAAUACUACACCCUCUAUGGCACAUAAUUAUUGUCCAUAUGAGUUGAUUUUUGGUAAAACAUGCAAUUUACCAAAGCAUUUUAAUAGCACAGAUAGAAUAGAACUCAUUUAUAAUAUGGAAGACUAUGCUAAAGAAAGUAAAUAUAGGUUAGAAGUAGCAUAUAACAGAGCAAGAAUUAUGCUCGAAGAACA
Long non-coding RNA from Drosophila yakuba, 4010 nucleotides. RefSeq lists it as uncharacterized. NCBI's taxonomy places the organism in Eukaryota, Metazoa, Arthropoda, Insecta, Diptera, Drosophilidae. The record is from RefSeq and is a predicted model, not a curated record. The transcript is spliced from 2 exons.